RNAcentral lists this ribosomal RNA (440 nucleotides) under uncultured bacterium. RNAcentral describes it as "partial 16S ribosomal RNA". It matches the Rfam family "Bacterial small subunit ribosomal RNA", at positions 338 to 795 of the family's 1533-position model. The record is from RNAcentral.
CCUACGGGUGGCAGCAGUGGGGAAUAUUGCGCAAUGGGCGAAAGCCUGACGCAGCGACGCCGCGUGUGGGAAGACGGUCCUCUGGAUUGUAAACCACUGUCCCCAGGGACGAAGAUGACGGUACCUGGGGAGGAAGCUCCGGCUAACUACGUGCCAGCAGCCGCGGUAAUACGUAGGGAGCGAGCGUUGUCCGGAAUUACUGGGUGAAAAGGGAGCGUAGGCGGGACUGCAAGUUGGGUGUAAAAUCUACCGGCUCAACCGGUAGCCGCACUCAAAACUGCAGUUCUUGAGUGAAGUAGAGGCAGGCGGAAUUCCUAGUGUAGCGGUGAAAUGCGUAGAUAUUAGGAGGAACACCAGUGGCGAAGGCGGCCUGCUGGGCUUUUACUGACGCUGAGGCUCGAAAGUGUGGGGAGCAAACAGGAUUAGAUACCCUGGUAGUU